This 1960-nucleotide long non-coding RNA is filed under the name Pomacea canaliculata. Its description in RNAcentral is "uncharacterized LOC112572543". Lineage: Eukaryota; Metazoa; Mollusca; Gastropoda; Architaenioglossa; Ampullariidae. The record is from RNAcentral.
UUUAUUUCUUUUUUUAGCUGACAUCUACAGGUAUAGUGAAUAAUUUCUAUUUCUCGCCUUUCCACUUCUGCGUUGAAGAUGCUUUACUGUGAUAUGAGUACAUAAGUUACACAUUUACAUACACAUCUACUCUAAUUGUACGCUUGUGUGUUGUUAUCACAUUCACACUGAAAUUCAAUCCUUUGCUGUACCUCCAAAGUAAAAAUGAAAGUGGGUUUCUUAAGCAGCAGGAUGAAGAUGAAGAAUAAAAAAAUCGCACAAAGCUUCGUGAUGUGCAAAUGUCGCAGUGCACGAACUUUUCUGCAGCAGAAAUAAUCGCUGCAUGUUUUACGGGUGUGCAGCGGAUGUUGCUGCAGCGCAGCAAGUGCAGCAGCCAAGCACGUCUACCCGUGUGUUGUUGUAGCUCGCCAUCACGACUAGACAUGGCGGCGAAGUCCACGUUAACCUGGGCUGGGAGGCUGGUAGUUGGUCACGUGGUCAGCACGUGGACCCACAGCUGUAUAAUUACAAUGAGGCUUGGAGACUGGCAGUGUCUCCCACGGUGCCGGACCAGUUGUGCCGACUGCAGCAGCUUCUUUUUGGACGAGGGCAGGAAGCUCGCGGUUUCCAAGACGACCAAGAUCGAAGACACUUGAAAAAUGAAGAAAUGUUUCCAAGGUGUUAAGCUGGUACUACUAACAUGUGCUAUCAGUUUAAUGCUCGCAAGGUCGACAGGUGAGCGAUUUGGAGAGGGGCAUCCCUGCCUGGCUACUAACCAGUGUGCUCGGGGUCUGUGCUGCGCACGAUGGUCAUACACCCGUGGAAAACGUUCCAUCGUGGAUUCGCUCUUUGAUUCAGGGUCCUGCCGGCCACUGCGCAUGCGCAGUCAGACGUGUCGAGACUGGCACGAGCGGUCCGCAAACGGUCGGCGCGGCGCCUUGUACGACUACUGCCCCUGCUCGUCGGGACUUCACUGCCGAGGGGAGGAGGUCAUCGAAAUUGAGGGAACCAUCAUCCACAGCAACCCCAUCUGCCAGCCAGUGAACUAAUGGAUGACACAGUAAACACGGCGCUAAAGUGUGGCCAUAACGGGUCUAGCGCCAUGUCAGGUUCGAACCACCACGUGCCUGUAGCUUGUGCAGCUGGAAUCUGAGGUGGGGCUGGUGAUGCGGCAGCUGCUGGCCAGUGUUCUCCAGCUUUACAAUGUAAAAACAUCUUUGUGACUGCUGGAAUGCGAAGCACGCGCAAUGUAUUAAUACAUUUUACCAGCGAUGCUUGGUUUCAUUUUGUACAAGUUAUACAAGCAAACCUCUAAAAGUUGUUUUUCAUGCUGUAUGUAUGUAGGCUGGACACUGGAAGUACAUAAAGAAUGUGACGAUUACGUAAAGGCAUGCACAUGUGACCUUCGCUGCACUAAAAGACACAAAAUGCAGAAUGUAGCAUUAUCUUUUACACGUGUGAUGUUCUUGUACAGUUUUAUUCAUAUCAUAGCACGCUCUCCAUAUCAUGUUACUUAAGUACUGACAUUACAACAAAUGACUAUAUUCUCCUCUAAGUUUUGUAUCUAAAACCUUUCAGAUGAUUACAUCCGAAUUUCAAAGCCGUUUAUAAGGGUUAAACUCAGAUUGCCCACAAGCUUGAAAAACAACAACAACAAAAAACAAAAACAAAAACAAAAACAAAAAAAAAAAAACCAAAACAAACGAAUAAAAAUGAAAAACAAAAUUCAAAGAAAAAAGACGUGUAUACCAUACUUGUAAAGACGGUAACAUGAAACUGUAAGAAAAGAUUUACACAUAUUUGUACCUUUAAUAAGUGCAAAAAAAUUUUUUUAACUGUUCCAUUUGUAUAUAUAAAUACUGUAAAUACGCAUUGAUAUAUAAUUAAUACAGUAUAAUACUUAAGGUCUCACUGGGAGUUCAAAAAAAUCAACAAUAAGGAGAGAGGAAGAAAGAAAAAGCAAAAAAAAAAAAAAAAAAAA